This 3091-nucleotide long non-coding RNA is filed under the name Sus scrofa (pig). RNAcentral describes it as "lncRNA (ENSSSCG00015054072.1)". Lineage: Eukaryota; Metazoa; Chordata; Mammalia; Artiodactyla; Suidae. The record is from RNAcentral.
AUUAUAGGAAAAAAUGAGGUUCGUUUGCAGGUGCAAAGACUUAACCUGAGCUAUCUUUGCUGAAAAAAUGUUAGAGAAAUUUUUUUAGUGCACAUAAGAAUGGUAAAGAAAAUACAUUGGAUAUCACUACUUAAGAUUAAAACAUUCAGGGCUCUCUCUCCAACUCUCGUUUCUAUAUCCUCUGUAUUCUGGUUUUAUUCUCUAACCAUAUUUUUCCAAAAAAACUAGCAUUCACUUUUCUAACUCUAGGAUCAUAUACUCACAAAUUUGUAGCUGUUAAUAAAAGGCUUCUUUUCUCCCAGAUACCACUGAACAAAAAUCAUGGAAAUAAACUUCUUUCUCUGGUUGUAGUUAUAUGUUUGGAUUUUAGACCACUUUGCUUACUCAUAUGAUCAUGUGAGUUUAUUCCUUUAUUAUAUAUUCUAUUAAAGAGGUGAAUAGGUUUGUUCUAUCUUAUUAAAAUGUAGUUGAUUUACAAUGUUGUGCCAAGUUCUGCUGUAUAACAAAGUGACUCAGUCAUAUAUAUAUUCUCUUUCUUAUAUUAUCUUCCUAUCAUGGUCUAUCCAAAGAUACUAGAUAUUGUUCCUUACACUAUACAGUAGAACCUCAUUGCUUAUCCAUUCUAAAUGUUAUAUUUGCAUCUACUAACCUCAAACCUCUCAGACCAUCCCACUCCCUCCCCCUCCCCUUGACAACCACAAGUCUGUUCUCUAUGUUUGUAAAUAUGUGUCUAUUUUGUUAGGUUCAUUUAUGACAUAUUUAAGAUUCUGCAUAUAAAUUAUAUCAUAUGGUAUUUGUCUUUCUUUUUCUUUUUUAAAAUGAUUUUUAUUUUUUCCAUUGUAGCUGGUUUACAGUUUUGUCAAUUUUCUACUGCACAGCAAAGUGACCCAGCCACACAUACAUAUAUACAUUCUCUUUCUCACAUUAUCCUCCAUCACACUCUAUCAUAAGUGACUAGAUACAGAUCCCAGUGCUAUAGGGCGGGAUCUCAUUGCUUAUUAUCCAUUCCAAAGGCAAUAGUUUGCAUAAUUAUUAUCUUAACUCCAAAUUCCCAGUCCAUCCAACUCCCUCCACCUCCCACUUGGCAACCACAAGUCUUUCUUUUUCUGACUUAAUUCAUUUAGUAUGAGAAUCUCUAGUUGCAUUGAUGUUGCUGCAAAUGGGAUUAUUUGCAUUUCAUUUGAGUAGUAUUCCAUUGUGUUCAUUUACCUACCUCUUCUUAAUCCAUUCAUCUUUUGAUGGACAUUUAGGCUGCUUCCAUAUCUUGGCUAUUGUUAAUAGUGCUGCUGUGAAUAUACAGGUGCAUAUAUCUUUUUGAAUUGUAGUUUUGCCCAGGAGUGGAAUUGCUGGAUACAUGGUAGUUCUAUAUUCAGUUUUCUGAGGAACCUCCAUAGCAUUCUCCUUAUGUUGGUACCAAUACACAUUUCCACCAACAGUGAAAGAAGGUUCCCUUUUCACCACACUCUCUUCAGAAAUUUAUUUGUAGACUUAUUAAUGAUGGCCAUUCUUACCGGUGUGAGGUGGUAUCUCACUGUAGUUUUGAUUUGCAUUUUUCCAAUAAUUAGUUAUAAUGAGCAUAUUUUCAUGUGUCAACUGGACAUUCAUAUGUAUUCUUUGUAUAAAUGCCUAUUUAGGUAUUUUGCCCAGUUUUCAAUUGGGUUAUUUGUUUUUUCAUUUUGAGUAUAUUUUGGAGGUUAAGCCCUUGUGGGUUGCAUCAUUUGCAGUUAUUGCUGUGAUUUCAUAGGUUGUCUUUUUUUUUCUCUCUUUUUCUUUUUUAUGGUAUCUUUGUUGUGCAAAAGCUUGUAAGUUUGAUUAGGUCCCAUUUGAUUAUUUCUGUUUUUAUUUCUAUUUCCUUGGGAGACUGACCUAGGAAAACAUUUGUAUGCUAGCUGUCAAAGAAUGCCUUGCUUAUGUUGUCUUCUAGUAGUUUUAUGGUGUCACAUCUAAUGUGUAAGUCUUUAAACCAUUUUGAGUUUAUCUUUGUGCAUGGUGUGAGGGUGUGUUCCAGUUUCAUUGAUUUACAUGCAGCUGUCCAGUUUCCCCAGUACCACUUGCUGAGGAGACUCUCCUUUUGCCAUUUUAUAUUAUGCCUUCUUUAUCAAAUAUUAAUUGAUCGUAAGUGUCUGUGUUAUUUCCGGGAUCUCUAUUCUAUUCCAUUGAUUCAUAUGUCUGUUUUUGUACCAAUACCAUACUCUCUUUCUCUCUGUAGCUUUUUAAUAUUGACUGAAAUCUGGGAGAGUUAUACCUCCUGCUUGUUCCUCCCAUACCCCAGGAUUGCUUUGGUAAUUCUGGGUCUUUUACUAUUAUAUAUAAAUUUCAGAUUAUCUGUUCAAGUUCUGUGAAAAAUGUCAUGGGUAAUUUGAAAGGAAUUGCAUUAAAUCUGUAGAUUGCAUUGUGUAGUGUCGCCAUUUUAACUAUAUUAAUUAUCCCAAUCCAGAAGCAUGAGAUAUCUUUCCAUUUCUUUGAAUCCACCUUAAUUUCUUGAAUAAAUGUUUUAUAGUUCUCAGCAUAUAAGUCUUUCACCUCCUUGGUCAGUUUUAUUCCUAGGUAUUUGAAGUCUGGGGGGGUGCAAUCUUAAAAAUUAAUGUUUUUUUUGUAUUCUUUUUCUAAUAUUUCAUUGUUAGUGUACAGAAAUGCAAGUUAUUUCUUAGUGUUAAUCUUGUAUCCUGCCACUUUGCUGAAUUCAUUGAUCAGUUUGAGUAGAUUUUGAGUGGAGUCCAUAGGGUUUUUAUAUAUAGUAUCAUGUUAUCUGCAUAUAGUGACAAUUGUAAUUCUUAUCUUCCAAUUUGGAUACCUAUUAUUUAUUUUCUUUGUCUGAUUUCUGGGCUAGGACUUCAAACACUAUAUUGAAUAAAGGGGUGAGAAUGGGCAUCCUUGUCUUGUUCUAGAUUUAGUGGGAAAGAUUUUUUUUUUUCUCUGCUAUGUAAAGUUCCAUGUGUACUUGGCUGUGGGUUUGUCAUAAAUGGCUUUUAUUAUGUUAAGAUGUUCCCUCUAUACCCACUUUAUAAAAGUUUUAUCAUGAAUGGAUGUUGGAUUUUGUCAGAGGCUUUUUCCACAUCUAUUGAAAUGAUCAUUGUUAGGUUUGCUGAGG